AUGUUGCGCGGAGCCCGCGAGGUUCCUACGCCCGGCGACAUGGGAUGCGCACGGUUCCUGCUGCUGUGGGUGCUUUCCCAGCUUUCGGGAAAUUAUGAGGGCCACUCGCUGUACACUUCCAAGCUUCACUCAUUCUCAGUCCCGCAAAAGAAUUUCACCUUCCUCUGGCUCCAGACCUCGUCCUUUCCCAGCAACACCUCCACACGCGCGGAGGGCGUGGCGUGGCUCGGGGAGCUGCAGACGCACAGCUGGAGCAACGCCGCGGACACUAUUCGUUUUGUGAAGCCCUGGGCUCGCGGCACGUUCAGCAGCCAACAAUGGGACAAAAUGCAGCACCUGUAUCUGGGCUUCCGAAGCAGUUUCACAAAAGACGUUCGGAAGUUCGCUCAAAUGCUGCGCUUCAAGUAUCCCAUGGAGCUGCAGCUGUCUGGUGGCUGUGAGGUGCACCCUGGGAACGUCUCAGAACACUUUCUCCAUGUAGCAUAUCAAGGAGAACAUAUCCUGAGUUUCCAGGGAACUGCUUGGGAGCCUGUCCCACAGGCCCCCCAGUGGGUAGAUUUGGUCAUCAAAGUGCUCAACCAGGACCAAGGGACAAGGAAAACAGUGCAGUGGCUCUUCAGUGACAUCUGUCCAGAAUAUGUCAAAGGCGUCCUAGAGACAGGGAAGUCGGAACUGGAGAAACAAGGUCCACCUGUUGUCCUCUCCUCCUGUUACUCAGGCUUCUUCUAGGUUUUGCCAUCCCAGGGUUUGCUUUCCUUUAAGCAUCAGACAAAGAGCAAGACAUAGGAGGGGAUGGAUAAGGCAUGAGGGUAUUUGUUGACAUCACCCAGUGUCACUGAGUACCUGCUGGGUUCCAUGAGUUGAAUUAA
Molecule: long non-coding RNA, 869 nt
Filed under: Ictidomys tridecemlineatus (thirteen-lined ground squirrel)
Lineage: Eukaryota; Metazoa; Chordata; Mammalia; Rodentia; Sciuridae
Description: lncRNA (ENSSTOG00000010518.3)
Source: RNAcentral